Molecule: ribosomal RNA, 433 nt
Filed under: uncultured bacterium
Lineage: Bacteria
Description: partial 16S ribosomal RNA
Rfam family: Bacterial small subunit ribosomal RNA
Source: RNAcentral
AACGAACGCUGGCGGCAUGCCUAACACAUGCAAGUCGAACGAGACCUUCGGGUCUAGUGGCGCACGGGUGCGUAACACGUGGGAAUCUGCCCUUUGCUUCGGAAUAACAGUUAGAAAUGACUGCUAAUACCGGAUGAUGUCGAAAGACCAAAGAUUUAUCGGCAAAGGAUGAGCCCGCGUAGGAUUAGGUAGUUGGUGGGGUAAAGGCCUACCAAGCCGACGAUCCUUAGCUGGUCUGAGAGGAUGAUCAGCCACACUGGGACUGAGACACGGCCCAGACUCCUACGGGAGGCAGCAGUGGGGAAUAUUGGACAAUGGGCGAAAGCCUGAUUCAGCAAUGCCGCGUGGGUGAUGAAGGCCUUAGGGUUGUAAAGCUCUUUUACCAGGGAUGAUAAUGACAGUACCUGGAGAAUAAGCUCCGGCUAACUCCGUG